GAUGAACGCUAGCGGCAGGCUUAAUACAUGCAAGUCGAACGGCAAGGACUUUCGGGUCCCUAGAGUGGCGCACGGGUGAGUAACACGUACACAACAUACCCUAUAUUGGAGGAUAGCCUUGGGAAACUGGGGGUAAUAUUCCAUAGUAUUUAUUGGAGGCAUCUCUGAUAAAUUAAAGAGCAAUCGAUAUAGGAUUGGUGUGCGUCCCAUUAGCUAGUUGGUAGGGUAACGGCCUACCAAGGCUACGAUGGGUAGCUGGCGUGAGAGCGCGACCAGCCACACUGGAACUGAGACACGGUCCAGACUCCUACGGGAGGCAGCAGUAGGGAAUAUUGGACAAUGGAGGCAACUCUGAUCCAGCCAUGCCGCGUGGAGGAUGACUGCCCUCUGGGUUGUAAAUAUCUUUUAUCUGGGAAGAAACUCCUCUAUUCUUAGAGGCCUGACGGUACCAGAGGAAUAAGCACCGGCUAACUCCGUGCCAGCAGCCGACGG
RNAcentral lists this ribosomal RNA (492 nucleotides) under uncultured bacterium. RNAcentral's name for it is "bacterial SSU rRNA". It matches the Rfam family "Bacterial small subunit ribosomal RNA", at positions 28 to 520 of the family's 1533-position model. The record is from RNAcentral.